This 460-nucleotide ribosomal RNA is filed under the name uncultured bacterium. Its description in RNAcentral is "partial 16S ribosomal RNA". It matches the Rfam family "Bacterial small subunit ribosomal RNA", at positions 338 to 795 of the family's 1533-position model. The record is from RNAcentral.
CCUACGGGUGACAGCAGUGAGGAAUAUUGGUCAAUGGACGAGAGUCUGAACCAGCCAAGUAGCGUGAAGGAUGACUGCCCUAUGGGUUGUAAACUUCUUUUAUAAAGGAAUAAAACGAGGCACGUGUGCCUUUUUGCAUGUACUUUAUGAAUAAGGAUCGGCUAACUCCGUGCCAGCAGCCGCGGUAAUACGGAGGAUCCGAGCGUUAUCCGGAUUUAUUGGGUUUAAAGGGAGCGUAGAUGGGUUGUUAAGUCAGUUGUGAAAGUUUGCGGCUCAACCGUAAAAUUGCAAUUGAUACUGGCAGUCGUGAGUACAGUUGAGGUAGGCGGAAUUCGUGGUGUAGCGGUGAAAUGCUUAGAUAUCACGAAGAACCCCUAUUGCGAAGGCAGCUUACUAAACUGUGACUGACAUUGAUGCUCGAAAGUGUGGGUAUCAAACAGGAUUAGAUACCCUGGUAGUC